This 118-nucleotide ribosomal RNA is filed under the name Saimiri boliviensis boliviensis (Bolivian squirrel monkey). The record is from RNAcentral. Lineage: Eukaryota; Metazoa; Chordata; Mammalia; Primates; Cebidae.
GUCUAUGCCACACCAUCCUGAACAUGCCCCAUCUCAUGUGAUCUUGGAAGCUAAACAGGGUCGUGCCUGAUUAAUAACUGGAUGGGAGACCACCCCGGAACACUGGAUGCUGUCAGCU